CGAGCCGUGGCCGAAAACGACACCUCUAGUCCUCACUCUGCAGAAAAUUUUAAUUCCAAAUUCAAGAUAUCUGAGCAAAGGCAAGAGGACGAAGAUUUUAACAAGACAAGGUGCGGCCGGUGGGUGGCUUCGGGUGCAAAGCAGUCUUAUGGGAGCGACCCGGGGGAAAACAACGAAUAUGAUUAAAUUGGUAAGCAAAGAAAACAUCUUUAAGGUAA
This is a long non-coding RNA of Papilio xuthus (Asian swallowtail), 218 nucleotides long. RefSeq lists it as uncharacterized. Lineage: Eukaryota; Metazoa; Arthropoda; Insecta; Lepidoptera; Papilionidae. The transcript is spliced from 3 exons. The record is from RefSeq and is a predicted model, not a curated record.